CGGAUUAGAGCCAGGCGGUUAGGCGCGUUCUUUGGGAGAGCGAAUAGUUAUGUUCGAUUCAUAAUAAUCCGA
This 72-nucleotide transfer RNA is filed under the name Cryphonectria parasitica (chestnut blight fungus). RNAcentral's name for it is "tRNA-Pro". The record is from RNAcentral. RNAcentral also lists the same sequence under 1 other name. Lineage: Eukaryota; Fungi; Ascomycota; Sordariomycetes; Diaporthales; Cryphonectriaceae.